Molecule: ribosomal RNA, 357 nt
Filed under: Echeveria pulvinata var. leucotricha
Lineage: Eukaryota; Viridiplantae; Streptophyta; Magnoliopsida; Saxifragales; Crassulaceae
Description: Echeveria leucotricha partial 18S ribosomal RNA
Rfam family: Eukaryotic small subunit ribosomal RNA (bases 300-357)
Source: RNAcentral
CGAAUGAUGGAAUUCUUAUGACCCAGCUGCGUUUGCUUUGCCGAGCGCCCCUUGAGGCGCUAGGCGGACGGUUAUGCUGCCCCUAUUUUUGGCCAUGCUCUUACCCUUUUCGGGAACCAUGGAAAAUUAUGUGGUAUCGCUUGUUGCCUCGGAUGCGGAGCACGAAGCGAGCAUGAUGCCAUGUCAUCAUUUGCUCAUUCGGAGCUCUCGAUUGCUCGAAAAGAGAGACUGUCGCGCUUGGUUUUGGCUGUCGACUUGUCGAACCAGUUCAAAACCUUGCCGAUGUCUUCAACGAAUGCUACCUGGUUGAUCCUGCCAGUAGUCAUAUGCUUGUCUCAAAGAUUAAGCCAUGCAUGA